GCCACGAUCGUCUAGUCGGUCAGGACACCUCGUUGUGGCCGAGGAAACACCAGUUCGAUUCUGGUUCGGGGCA
Molecule: non-coding RNA, 73 nt
Organism: Tribonema minus
Lineage: Eukaryota; Xanthophyceae; Tribonematales; Tribonemataceae
Source: the annotation of a GenBank genome assembly